AACGAACGCUGGCGGCAGGCUUAACACAUGCAAGUCGAACGGUUGUAGCAAUACAGCAGUGGCAGACGGGUGAGUAACACGUGGGAACCUUCCUAGGGGUACGGAACAACUCAGGGAAACUUGAGCUAAUACCGUAUACGUCCGUGAGGAGAAAGAUUUAUCGCCCUUAGACGGGCCCGCGUCGGAUUAGCUAGUUGGUGGGGUAACGGCCUACCAAGGCGACGAUCCGUAGCUGAUCUUAGAGGAUGAUCAGCCACACUGGGACUGAGACACGGCCCAGACUCCUACGGGAGGCAGCAGUAGGGAAUAUUGGACAAUGGGGGCAACCCUGAUCCAGCCAUGCCGCGUGAGUGAUGAAGGCCUUAGGGUUGUAAAGCUCUUUUGUGCGGGAAGAUAAUGACGGUACCGCAAGAAUAAGCCCCGACUAACUUCGUGCCAGCCGCCGCCGUAA
This 451-nucleotide ribosomal RNA is filed under the name uncultured bacterium. RNAcentral's name for it is "partial 16S ribosomal RNA". It matches the Rfam family "Bacterial small subunit ribosomal RNA", at positions 29 to 523 of the family's 1533-position model. The record is from RNAcentral.